CAGCAGUACAGUUUAUGAAGCAAUAUCCUCCUAUCCACUGCAGAAUGCAGCAAUCUACUGCACUGUUGCAUACUUGCGUUACAGUAGCCUUGGCUAUGUGGACAUAGCCUUGGUUAUUAGAAGCUGUAGACUGGAGCACAGAGGAAUGGGACAACACUGAGAAAGUGGGGACAACAGUAUUUCAUCAAAAAGAAGCUCAUUUCCUUCCAGGAGCAGACCACACAGAAAACAUGGACACGGAUUACUUUAUCAGGUCCUGCUGUCACCCAAAGGCUCAUCCCUGCAGAGCUCAGGGGUCUGGCUUCAUGACUCGGCUUUAAACGGACGCUCAGCUUUCCUAGGAAAAACUGUGAUCCUGAACUAAUUUUCUGUACCACUGCACUCCACUCCUUGAACUUCUGAACUGGGGUCCCAAGACAAGAUGCUACAUAGAAAUAGUUUAAGAGACUGAUUUCUUCUAAAAAUUUGAAAGAUGGCAG
Long non-coding RNA from Gallus gallus (chicken), 479 nucleotides. Lineage: Eukaryota; Metazoa; Chordata; Aves; Galliformes; Phasianidae. The record is from Ensembl.